This 216-nucleotide ribosomal RNA is filed under the name Glomeromycotina sp. RNAcentral describes it as "partial small subunit ribosomal RNA". The stretch from base 40 to 216 matches the Rfam family "Eukaryotic small subunit ribosomal RNA", at positions 686 to 864 of the family's 1831-position model. The record is from RNAcentral. Lineage: Eukaryota; Fungi; Glomeromycota.
GGGUCAGUAGGUUGGUCGUGCCACCGGUACGUACUGGUCUCACUGAUUCCUCCUUCCUGAAGAACCGUAAUGACAUUAAUUUGGUGUUGCGGGGAAACAGGACUGUUACUUUGAACAAAUUAGAGUGUUUAAAGCAACCUAACGCUUGAAUACAUUAGCAUGGAAUAAUGAAAUAGGACGAUCGAUCCUAUUUUGUUGGUUUCUAGGAUUGACGUA